Molecule: ribosomal RNA, 494 nt
Filed under: uncultured bacterium
Lineage: Bacteria
Description: bacterial SSU rRNA
Rfam family: Bacterial small subunit ribosomal RNA
Source: RNAcentral
GAUCAUGGCUCAGAUUGAACGCUGGCGGCAUGCUUUACACAUGCAAGUCGAACGGUAACAGGCCUUCGGGUGCUGACGAGUGGCGAACGGGUGAGUAAUGCAUCGGAACGUGCCCAGAGGUGGGGGAUAACGCAGCGAAAGCUGUGCUAAUACCGCAUACGCCCUGAGGGGGAAAGCGGGGGAUCGAAAGACCUCGCGCGAUUAGAGCGGCCGAUGCCUGAUUAGCUUGUUGGUGGGGUAAAAGCCCACCAAGGCGACGAUCAGUAGCUGGUCUGAGAGGACGAUCAGCCACACUGGGACUGAGACACGGCCCAGACUCCUACGGGAGGCAGCAGUGGGGAAUUUUGGACAAUGGGGGAAACCCUGAUCCAGCAAUGCCGCGUGAGUGAAGAAGGCCUUCGGGUUGUAAAGCUCUUUUGUCAGGGAAGAAACACCGGCUCUAACACAGUCCGGGAAUGACGGUACCUGAAGAAUAAGCACCGGCUAACUACGUG